RNAcentral lists this unclassified non-coding RNA (415 nucleotides) under Hevea brasiliensis (rubber tree). Lineage: Eukaryota; Viridiplantae; Streptophyta; Magnoliopsida; Malpighiales; Euphorbiaceae. The record is from RNAcentral.
GCGAAAAGGAUUUUUCUAAUUAUUAAACAAGCACUACAUAUUCAUGAUCGGUAGGUACUUUAGCUAGUGAUGAUAAAAAACUAGAAAGAAAGAUAUAGAGAAGUGCAAAUUAGGAAUUAAUUAAAGAGGAUGAAAGCGAAACUAGCAAUUUUCUUAGCUCUAUUGCAUAAGUAAGUUCCUAAUUAUGGCAGCCUGGGCAGUGUCUGUAGUUGCCAAUAGCUCAGAGAGCCGCUCGCUAAGAUCAUCAACCUCUCUGUGCAAGCUCCUGAUACAGUUGCAUGUGUCCUGCAAAACCUUGGCAGCUGAAACCUUGUCCGAACGCCUAUUGCCAAUCUCAGGAAGAAGCUGUUGCAACUUACUAACAAGAUCCAGGAUCUGAUCAUCUGUGAUUCUUGAACUCCCUGAUGAUGGUCUU